Molecule: ribosomal RNA, 1067 nt
Filed under: Vibrio fluvialis
Lineage: Bacteria; Pseudomonadati; Pseudomonadota; Gammaproteobacteria; Vibrionales; Vibrionaceae
Description: bacterial SSU rRNA
Rfam family: Bacterial small subunit ribosomal RNA
Source: RNAcentral
UUUUGACGUUAGCUGCAGAAGAAGCACCGGCUAACUCCGUGCCAGCAGCCGCGGUAAUACGGAGGGUGCGAGCGUUAAUCGGAAUUACUGGGCGUAAAGCGCAUGCAGGUGGUUUGUUAAGUCAGAUGUGAAAGCCCGGGGCUCAACCUCGGAAUUGCAUUUGAAACUGGCAGGCUAGAGUACUGUAGAGGGGGGUAGAAUUUCAGGUGUAGCGGUGAAAUGCGUAGAGAUCUGAAGGAAUACCGGUGGCGAAGGCGGCCCCCUGGACAGAUACUGACACUCAGAUGCGAAAGCGUGGGGAGCAAACAGGAUUAGAUACCCUGGUAGUCCACGCCGUAAACGAUGUCUACUUGGAGGUUGUGGCCUUGAGCCGUGGCUUUCGGAGCUAACGCGUUAAGUAGACCGCCUGGGGAGUACGGUCGCAAGAUUAAAACUCAAAUGAAUUGACGGGGGCCCGCACAAGCGGUGGAGCAUGUGGUUUAAUUCGAUGCAACGCGAAGAACCUUACCUACUCUUGACAUCCAGAGAACUUAGCAGAGAUGCUUUGGUGCCUUCGGGAACUCUGAGACAGGUGCUGCAUGGCUGUCGUCAGCUCGUGUUGUGAAAUGUUGGGUUAAGUCCCGCAACGAGCGCAACCCUUAUCCUUGUUUGCCAGCGAGUAAUGUCGGGAACUCCAGGGAGACUGCCGGUGAUAAACCGGAGGAAGGUGGGGACGACGUCAAGUCAUCAUGGCCCUUACGAGUAGGGCUACACACGUGCUACAAUGGCGCAUACAGAGGGCGGCCAACUUGCGAAAGUGAGCGAAUCCCAAAAAGUGCGUCGUAGUCCGGAUUGGAGUCUGCAACUCGACUCCAUGAAGUCGGAAUCGCUAGUAAUCGUGAAUCAGAAUGUCACGGUGAAUACGUUCCCGGGCCUUGUACACACCGCCCGUCACACCAUGGGAGUGGGCUGCAAAAGAAGCAGGUAGUUUAACCUUCGGGAGGACGCUUGCCACUUUGUGGUUCAUGACUGGGGUGAAGUCGUAACAAGGUAGCGCUAGGGGAACCUGGCGCUGGAUCACCUCCUUA